Molecule: ribosomal RNA, 253 nt
Filed under: uncultured bacterium
Lineage: Bacteria
Description: partial 16S ribosomal RNA
Rfam family: Bacterial small subunit ribosomal RNA
Source: RNAcentral
GACGAACCGUGCGAACGUUAUUCGGAAUCACUGGCUUAAAGCGCGUGUAGGCGGAUGGGAACGUCGGCUUCUGAAAGCCCCCGGCUCAACCGGGGAAGUGGGGCCGAAACGACCCGUCUGGAGGGACGUAGGGGGAUCUGGAACUUCCGGUGGAGCGGUGAAAUGCGUUGAGAUCGGAAAGAACACCAACGGCGAAAGCACUCUGCUGGGCCGACACUGACACUGAGAGACGAAAGCUAGGGGAGCGAAUGGG